CCUAGAGACCUUCCUCAUCCAGCGACCUCCUGCUCCAGCCUGGGAGCCGCGGCUGCCAUCCAGGACCCGUCAAAAGGAAGGACAUAAUCAGAAGAAAGCAGGAGGCAAGAAAAGGACCAGCAAUGGGAAGGGACAGGACUUAACUACGUUUCACAGGAGUUUCAGGCAACAUGCAGGUCCUAGAAGCAUCUGUACUGCCUCAAACCAACUGCCUAGGAUUCUGUCUCAGAUCUCGACAAGAGCAGGCACCAGGAAAGAGUGGAAGAGCCAGACAAUCAUAUGCAACUCCCUAGCUCCUUCCCUUCAUUUUAGUAUCUACAUCCAGUGUUUCCCUUCAGAAGCUGUGACCUCAGAAGGCUUUUGAGCAAGAUGUUGUUUCCGUAUGUAACUCCUAGUGGAUCUCUUCUCUGAACCUGUCCAGACUAGAGCCCAUGUUCUAUCAUCCAAAAGAGCCAGUGUCCAAAUGUUCCUUAAUGCUUACCUUCCUUGAACUGUGUGUGGAGAAUCACCUCCUUUUGUUUGGUUUGAACCCAGCUCCCAUUCCACUGAUUCUCCUCAGUUCAUGCAGUGAAAGAAACAGUGGUCAUCUAGUGCAACCUCCUGCAGGAUCAGCAUUGAAUUUAGACCAGGUGGCUCAGGCCUUUUGUACAGGGGAGGAUCUGAAAACCUCCAAGGAUAGAAAUUCCACAGUGCCUCUCAGCAAUUUAUUCCCUUGUUUUGUGAAAAUACUUUAAUUACAUCAAGUUAGAAGCUCCCUGGUUUAAUUUAUCACUCCUGUCAUAUGACCAUAUCUUGAGCUGAUCUAUCAUGGUGCCUGCUGCAUUAGCACAUUAGCACACUCACCUGUUUAUUUCAGAUAAAUGCAUUAUGGAAAAAGUAUGUUUUGUUACAGUAACUUGCAGAGCUCUACUCUAAAAUUCAUACCAAGAUGAAAACUUCUUCCAAUUCAUAAAAUAUCACAAGCUGACUUGUGUUGGGUUUGUCAGGAGGUAGAUUUGUGAUUUAGGGCCCUGGAGGAAGAAUGCCUCCAGACAUCAUUUAUCAAUAAGAUUAUUUUGAUUAUUUAUUUAUUUUAUAUAUAUAUAUGUGGCUGAUGCUCAAGCUCUGGUUCCAGUCCUCUAUGGCUGAUCUCAGCCAUGUUUAUUUUCUGUUACAGAUCAUUCAUUGCUCUCUAGAGGCACUAACUGGAAGAAGGUAUUUGGGGUUAUAUUCGGAGUUUCAGGCCACAAUAUCAGGAACUCAGCUAAAUAAAGUGAAAUAUGCUAUUCAACAAGAUUAAGGGUAUACUAAAAGGAGAUUUGAUAACUAGGUAAUUCAAGGAGACAUGCUGAGGUCUCUUGAGUCCUGCAAGUUUGAAUCCAUGUUUGGCAGCUUUAUACAAAUGCAUUAUUGGUAUUACUUGCUCUGUCCACAUCCUCUGGGAGCACUUUUUUUUGAUUACUUCAUUAAGUUUAAUCUGCCUUAGGAGAACAGUGAUAUAUUUUAAAGUACACAAAAAUCUGUACCUACACUUUGCUAUUUCCAGAACAAAAUCAAACAACUGAGCGUGAACACCUUUCCUACCUCAUCCCUUUAUUUGCAGCCCUUGCCCUUCUAUCCAGCUUCACCCUGUCAGUGCCAAGAUCCACAUCUUCUCAUUUCCUCUUUUUCCACUUCUGUUGCACACACCACCAGCCCCAAUCAGGUCUGCAUAUUUCCCUGCACUUUUUCAACCCUUUAUAGGCUAGAACCUUUCCACAAAACAUGGAGUAGGAACCUGGAAAUAAUACUGGAGAUGCUAUAUAAGAAUCUCCAACAACAACAAAAAAAAUCAAGUAUAAUUUCCAUCAGUUACAAUUAGAUCCAGUGUCUAGGAAGUUGCAGAGUCACAUCUGAAUUUCGUGCUGCUGUGUACUCUAGUGAUCUAUUUCCUAAUUUGUCUGAGAACUGAAUAUAAUUAAAUUUGAUGGUCUUAGAGGUCAAAAGCUUCUGCUGUUUUGGGACACUUAAAUGAAGUGAGAUGCAAUGCAUAGAAAAAGCCUGCUAGUUAUGACAUAUUCAUCAUGGCCUGUACAUUUUUUAAAGGCAAGCACAACCUAUAAAAGGUGUGAGGCCAGAGAGAGGCAGAGCAUUUGAGGAGAAAUUAAUCUGAAUUAUCAAAUUUUGGUCAAGAAAGCUCAUAAGCCAUAAUGCCAAAUGAGUAGUAUGCCUUUUAGCAUCAUUUACCAGCUCUGCUCAGAACUGCUGAGGAUUAAAAUCACAAAAGGUUUCACAGUGACAAAUUAAUUUGCAAGAUAAUUUGGGAACAGUUUGCCCAAUUCCUUUUCUGAUUACACAAAAAUAUAGGUUGUGCAACAAAAUUUUCUUCAAGAUUGUGCAGUGAGAUUCUCAUCUAGCAGUGGCAACUGCUUAAGAGACCAGAAAUCAAAACACUGAAGCAGAAGAAUAUAUUAAUCAGACAAUAGGGGAAACGUGGAAAAGAACUUGGAAAAAUGAGGUAAUUCCACAUUCCAGGAAAAUUUCCGAUGCCAUUUCUCCAAAACUGCAACACUUUUUCAGAUGACAGAGCAACUUCACCAAGGAUUAGCUAUAGUGUACGUGUUCAAAUCAAGGAAAACAACUUUCACUGUUCAAUUCUCAAACAGGAUGGGAAAAAGCCAUCUCAAGAGAACAGUAUUAAUGAUUCCAAAAAUAGUACAGUAAGAGUAACACAUUCCUUUGUCCCUGGGUAAAGCAAGAAGACGUGCUUAGGUCUCCAAUUCCUGCAAGUCUGAACUCCCACAAAUGGCAGAUGUAGGACACUGCCAGGUAGGGUCCCUCUGAAAGGAAUUACAAAGAAGAAAAGAUAAUAUAUGUAAUUGAGUACCUAAUGUCAGUACCUCAGUGCAGAAUAAAACAUCAACAGGACUCUUCAAUAACCUCAAAACCAAAAAAUGGCCAUGCACAGCUAGAGCCAGUGUCAUGCUGUAGGAUAAAGGAACAAUACAAAGAAAUAGUAAAGGAAGAUUUAUUUUAAAGCUUGAUGUCCAAAAAUUGUUUUCAUCAAGAAGAGCCAAAUUAAAAAUAUUCCAAAUCAAAGAAAGACCAAAUAUUACCUUAGUGGGUAGGGAAAACAAUCUAACAAAAAAAAAAUCAUUGUAUUCUUUCCAAAUUAAAAUACAGUUGUUGGGGUUUUAUACAAAAAACAAUCAAUUGUAUUCCCUGUUCAUUAAUAUCAGGGCAAGCAGAAAUCAGCUUGAUUUAUGCCAAGAUAAAUUUGAAGGUAGAUGCUACAUAGCAAAUUUCCCAGAUCUAAUUAAGCAGUAAAACAGACUAAGCAGGAAUGUCAUGUUCCCUUCAUCACUGAUUUUUAAAGUCUGAUCCAGACAAAAGUUAUGUCAGGAUGAUUCUAAGUAGGCUUAGAAUUUUGUCUCAGAUCAGGAGCUAUGAACAGAUGAUCUCACAAGAUCUCUUUUAGCCUAAAUUUCUAUUAAAACAUAAGCUGAUUGAAAAUGUUAAGAGUUUUAGAAGUAGGUGGACGUAAAAAAAUUAUCAUCACCUGACGUGGUUAAGAGCACCAUUAUUGAGAGGCUGUCUAGCUCACAGAAGGAAUACAUGGCAACCAUUUGAAUGUAAAGAUACCUUAUUUAACAAGAAGAGGAAGGACAAUCCCUGAUGUAGUUGAAAGAGAGACGCAACUUGCACAGUAUUGACAUGACUGAAUAUAGAGUACACACUCAUUCCUCAUCUGAAAUGUUUACAGUUGGACCACACCAUCCACAGAAUCCAGGAGAGCUAGACACAAGAAAGGGUGGCAAGAGUCACAAGAUAUGCACAAAAGUCAGGCAAACUGUCAGCAAGAUAUCACCCAUUUCCAGGCUAAGCACUUUCCAGGACAAGAUUAAUACAUAUUACUUGCAAUGCCAAAUAAAUGUUGAAUGGAACAGGAGAGGUAUUGCUCAAUAGGUUGUGUUUUUUCUUUUUAUAAGCAUUGACAUUAAAUGAAACAUCUUCUGCAUUUUGUACACAGCAUAAUUUAUGCUGUGGAGAAUUUAUGCUGAGGACAACUUUUUAGACGAAGUACCUUAUAAUAGAUUUGAGACACUUCCCUAAAUAUCCAUGGGACUAGUGUCAGGCAAUAGAAUUCAAUGAGUACUAGAAGAUAAAUAUAGCUCAUAAAGUAAGAAAGAUUAAAUAAUGGUAAAACUACUGUAGAGAGAAUUCCAAAUGCACAAAAAGGAAUUACUCAUUUUCCUGGCCACUGAAAAGGGAAAACCUGGAACUGAAAAUAAUAUAAACAAGUUCAAAUUGUAUCCACACUUCCCCUGAGGAAGAUAUGGAGCAUGGCAGACAUUGUACAAGAAUAAUUUCCAGACUGACUGUAUUGCUGUGCAGUAUCUGACUGAUGACUGCACACAUGGAUCAGCCCAGACUGUAACACUGCUGAGCAAGACAGAUGGGAAAAUGACAUUGAGAAGGCAACGCUCAUGCUGCAUAACAAAUCAACACUUCUCCUUCCAAACCAUGCUGAACUCCUCUAGGAGUUAGAAAAAUGGUAAUUAUCUCUAGUUAAAAGGCUUUCUUUUCCAAAACACAGUCAGUGUUUAAAAGUGUAUUUAUGCUGAAAGUAGCUUUAGUGGAAUCCAGCAGAUAUCUUCAUAACAAUUCUAUUUUUCUUGCAAAUCUCCUUCAUUUUUAAAGACAUCCUACUGAUUUACAUGCUAAUAUCUGAAUAUAUCCAAUUACCCCUCUCACCUGAAUAUCCUAUGGCCCAAAAGAUUUGUGUUUCAGGAACUGAGUUAAGCUUGUGCCCUGAAAUGCACAAAAAUGCAUGAGAAAGCAAAAAUGAGUGAAUACAUUUGCUAAUGGCCAUGUCAAUUUCCAAUUUUCUGUCACACAGGCUUUUAGGAUUACUAUAUUUAACACAGUCCAAUUGCUUCUUCUCUUCAUUUUCUCUCUUUUGCAUUUCACAAAGUCAAAAUAAUUUAUGUACCUAAUACCUAGAAACCUUGUACUAAGAUAUAUUUGGUAAUCAAUAAUUAAACUAAAUAACAAAGAGUCGUAAUUUUGUCAUGACAUUUCUUACCUUUCUAAACAGAAGUGGUGAUAGUUAAAUGCCUGAAUAUUGUCAAAGUUAUUUGUAGAAGAGAGAAACACAAAAGAACAAUUACAUGUGGAAGUCACUUGGAGGAGCAUUUCCAGAAGUUAACUAUUAUUAUUGUAAUUAACAGUUGAGGGUCUUUUCCUCAUUUUUUGGUAAAUAACACUAUCAUCCUGGCAGGACUGAGAAACCCUCAGUUCUUCAACAUUUACAUACCUGUGACUAUUAACAUUUUGUUUUAAAGCAGAUACUUAAAGUCUGUUCCGUGUGUAUGAACAGAAAUAAGCUCACUGUGAUGCCUCAGCCAUGGGCACCUGAGUGCAAAGAGGAGACCCUUUAGUAAGAAACAGGACAAAUGGGGAGAUGGACAUCUCUGACCUGUAAGACAAAGCUUCAAAAUUAUAAAUCAAACUGUUCAAUUAUCUGAAGUUUCAUCACACAUUAUGCAUUUUUCUCCUUUCCCCAACAUAAGAUACUUCUCUUCUGUAUUCCCAUCAAAGCUUUUCUCCCCAGGCUUUGAGUCCACUAUGCUGUAUAAUCGCCCACAAAUGGUUAUUAGCCUUUUCCAGCACCUCUGGCAACUGCCAUUACCAUAUUUGCCUUUUUUUUUGCAACUACUUACUGCACUCAAGGCAAGCAGAAUGUCACAUGUUCCAAGUAAUCUUCACUAAGAAUUUUUUUCUAACAAAAUGAAAGACCCCUGAAUUCACUAUCCAGGCUCCUCCUGAAGUUUGUUCCUGGUUUGCUUUGCAAGACACAUAACUUCAUCCUGGAGUCCCCUUAAUAACAAUCCCCAUACCAAGUUCCAGACAAGAUUGAAUUUUAGCAUCUUCUACCUGUUUCCAGGGAUUUUGUUUUCUCAGCAGGCUUAUAACUCUCCAGGGUCUCAGCCUUCUUCCUACAUAAGCUUUUGCCAGGCAGAGCAAUCUCUUCCCACCAUGGUCUUCCAGUUCCUCUUUGAAAGACUUCUGUGCAGAACAGUCUAAGAUUUUGGUUAUCUGCUUGUCUCCAGAAGGAGAUAACUGAGGUUUAACCAGGCUCCUUGAUUUUUCUGGAAACACGAAGUAUACAUACCUCAUCAGAGGUUUUCUAAUAUCCUGCUUCUUUCCUGUUUCUCCUGCUGUUACAACCCUAGCAAGUGUGCCUUCUUCCCAGUCCUCCACAUCUGCUUUUACCUCUUCCUAUGCUGGACUUGGGGCCUUAUGUGAUUUUCCAGUCUCCUGCUACACACCUGUAUCCUUUCCACUCCUGCCUUCAGUGGUUUGCAAAGGAAAUCAGUCAGUUGCAAUAAAGCAUCUGUAUGUGAGCAUGACAUAGCCAGUAGCUAUAGUAACAGAAAAGCUUACUUUAAAACAAAACAAAAAAGAAUGUGAGAGGUAUCUCUCAUCUUUCCUCCCCUCCCCUAAUAUUGCAGGGCUCCAUAAAUAUACCCCUGCACAUCUUCAUCUAAUUGUAUCUCCCCCUGGCUCAAAACAGGGUGAGAGAGAAGGAAAACUUUUCUUUUUUUUUUUUUUUUUGCCUGGUGUAAGGAGGAAAAUAGAUAAUAUCACACAGCAAAACUAGAAAGAAAAGAUCUCUCUCCCAGGAAAAAAUAAAAAAAAUAAAAAAAAAAAUCUGUAGGUUGCAAAUCCAGGAUAGGCAAAAUUGUCACUAUCCCACUUCUACCUUAAUUUCUGAUACAGGUUCAGCAAUAGGACCCUUGCACACUGUGAAAUUAAUCUCCACUGUUCCCUUUGUAUUGUCUUGUUCUCUUAAUAAUCUUCCCUUCCUGAAAAAAGCAGGACCAGUGCCUCUCAGUUUUCAAGUCAGUUCAAUAUCAGAUGUUAAGGGACUGAAUAGUUCCUUAUUCCUCAGAAAGACAGAUGCAAUUCAGAUGUGUGGCUAUUCCCUUUGGGUUACAAAUUAAGUCUUAAGGUCAGGACCACCCAAAAGCUUCACCUAGAACUGAGCCUACCUGCACAGCCCUCCACCUGCAAUCCCCAAAUCCCAGGGGUGCAGGUGGAUUCAUAGGUCCCUGGCACCCAGCAUGGGAGCCAUCUCUGGGGAUGGGAAUUCCAGCUGAGGCUCCCUGGGUGCACACACAACCAGCUCCUGCAAUGCAGCUCCUCACCCCAGGUUGCUCUGCAGGAACUACUGGUGUGCAGAUCCCCAGGGAGUCCCAGGAGCAAUUUGGGAGGCGAGCAAGGGCUUCAAAAACAACCUUUUCCCCAGUGGAGUGCUGUGCUGCCUAAAGACAUCAGUUCAGACCCUGAAGCAGUCAGGCCACACACUCAUGCUUGCAACCCAGCUCACUGUUACACCAACCUGGAGAUCAGUUUUUAAUAAUUCAAAACAGCAUAGGUAACUUCUAAAACAGUUACAAAAAGAAGAGCCUUCUACAAGUUCUCUUUGAGAACAGCUCUUGCAUCUGACUGGACUGAGUCGAGGUAAAGAUGCUUUUUUUGAACUCCAUAUACUCCUAAUUCCUCUAGAACUUGUGUACAUGGACUUCCACAGAAAAGACCAAAAUAGACUUUGUGCCUCAGCUUACUUUACCACUGAAUAGGUCAGCAGGGUGCACACAAUGUUCAGUAAUUUAAUGCACUUCUACGUGAGUCAUACCUUUUCAUUCCUGCUUUUUAAAAUGUGCAUAUUGAAAUAGAUAAACAACACAAAAAAGAUGUCUGUCUAGCAAACUUCAUUAUUUUUCACAAAUUAAAUCUUCUUAAUUUGCUGCAGUAUUGUCUUUCAACAAAUUAUUCUUUCAUUUAUUCUUUUUUCUGGACAGUCCCUUUCCUGAGGGACUAAUAAUCUUCCAUAGAUCCUGAAGUAUUUACAAUAAAUCCCACUUGGAAUAUAUUUCCUUUUAAUCAUUAAAACAAGUUACCAUGCAGUUAAGGAGAGAGUAUUAUGUAUUUCAGCAAGUUAUACCUGAUAUUCUUCAAACUGGAACACUGUUAUACCUGAUUCAGUUUUAUACUUUGACAUGUCUCCAUUGUUAUUGAACAACAGUUAAAUAUAAUACACUGUUACAAAUAAGUUUCAUUCUUUAGAUAGCUGAUGGAUGUGAUCUCUAAUGUGUUCUCUACAAAUCAUGAGUUAUAUCCCGCUUCUUAAUUGUAGAGUCCUCUGAAAUCUACUUUAAAUAGUAGCUAAGCAGAUUAAAUACAAAAAGGAACAAAAGCAAGGCAGUUUGCAAAAGGAUAAAUUUAAAGUUUUCUGCUCAGCACUGUAUAGUUUUUCCACAGACUGUUUUGUAGACAAUCAUCUUUCUCAGUCACUUAUUAGAUCACUGUAAUCUGGAUUUCUAUAUUGACUGACUCAUUUUCAAUGUCAAUCAUAAUGUGAAAAUUUAAUAAAACAACUCUAAUUGUUCUUCAGAAA
Molecule: long non-coding RNA, 8422 nt
Organism: Apus apus (common swift)
Lineage: Eukaryota; Metazoa; Chordata; Aves; Apodiformes; Apodidae
Exons: 3
Source: RefSeq, a predicted model, not a curated record